Acyrthosiphon pisum (pea aphid) is the source of this 56-nucleotide non-coding RNA. The record is from Rfam. NCBI's taxonomy places the organism in Eukaryota, Metazoa, Arthropoda, Insecta, Hemiptera, Aphididae.
AUACCGGCUCUAUUAUGGACAUUAAGAGCCACACGAGAUAUAUAUAUACAUAAUAU